Molecule: non-coding RNA, 115 nt
Organism: Triticum urartu
Lineage: Eukaryota; Viridiplantae; Streptophyta; Magnoliopsida; Poales; Poaceae
Source: Rfam
UCAGUACUCCCUCCGAUCGGAAUUACUUGUCGCAGAAAUGGAUGUAUCUAGAUGUAUUUUAAUUCUAGGUACAUCCAUAUCCGAGACAAGUAAUUUCGAACGGAGGAAGUAGUUC